AUGUUUAAACAAAAGCCUUGCAACUCUUUGUUUGGCGCAUUGUGAUGAUCGAUACCAUUGUAUCAGAUAUGAUGGAUUAGGAUCCAUCCAUAAUCUUGACCAGAAACUGUUGUAAUUUUAGAUCUUUCAAUUGAGUAUUUUCCUGAUUGUUGCUAGUUAUUUAUUAUUUCUCAUUAACAUUGUUCAAUUGUCAUUGUGCUUCUUUUUUUCCUUUGUCCCAGACAUAAUGUUUACACUUGAUUGUCAAUCACAUUAGAUGUUAUUAUUAUCACUAAUAAAACGUCAACAUUUUCAAUCAACAUGAUUUGAUGGAUGGAUUCCUCAACAACAACCCUGUUUAUUAUGUGUUGCUUUUUUUACUUCAUUUGUUUAAUCUUGCGAACUUGCUUUUCAAUUAAUUGUUAAUGCAUUAGACGUGCUUUACAUAACAAUUGGAAUUAUAUAAAAUUGAAGAGAAACGUAACUCAACAGUAAACUUGCAUUGAACAAUUCAACCCUUAAAUUUAAAAUUUACUUUUCACGCCUUCAUCUGUUUAGUUACACAUUUAUCCAAUUGUUUCAACAUUUUUCAGAACCAAUUUGAUUACUUUUCUUGUUGUUAUGUACAUUAAAACGACAAUUUUCAGCCUUUUUAAUGUUAAGGUUCUGUAAAAAUAGCGACUCACUCUUAAUGUUGUCAAUACAAAAAUACAGAUUGUAAUGGUUUGUUUUUCCCUCAACUCUUUGUAACCAUUACGUAGCGACCGUUGCGAAAGCUUUUCAAAAUGUAUUGUUAACGGUUAAUUGUAUUUCUAGUGUAUAGAUAAUCAUCAUUAGUUUUGCUUUUUAUUUCCAUAUUAGUUUAUAAUUAAACUCAUUAGUAGUUUACUGUUCCCAAAAUUGAUCUAAAUUGCUAUUUGAUCUCAAUAGUCGACAUUUUCGUUUGUUUUUGUGUAAUUUCUCCUGCAACUCUUGUUUAUGUACACUUAUGUGUGUAUAUUUAAUGCUAUGCCACCUGGACUUGCACCUUAAUUGAAUGAUCUGGAUUCAAGGUUAAGCUACUUUUUUCCAUCACAAUUUAAUGAACUCCGAUGGAAUUGAACUCCAAUGGAAAGCAAUCAAGUUACAUAAUUUACUCUACUUCAAUCAAUCAUUAUCUUGCAUUUUGUUCAUUGACAGUUUAAUUGGUUCUUUCCAAACCGAUUACAUAUUUGUAUUAGUUCAAAGUUGACCCCCAAUACGACCUAUCUGAUCACUUUUAUCAAGAAGCAACCAAUUCUUUCUGCGACCACAUAACAAUAACUCUUGAAUGGAUCAUCCACUUAUUGUUAAUCAAAGCUGUUGCUUCCUUAAAAAUAGCAAUUCUCAUGAUAACUCAUGUUAGUCUGGAAGAUUCGACCGGAAAAAAGGCAGCUAUCAACAACAUCAAAGGAGGAUUUAAUGAUUUUUAUGAAUCUUUGUUGCGAUUGCAGUCUUCUGCAUCUUUAGACAAAUCACAACACCAUCAUAAAUCAUUUGUAAAUCCAUUAUUGAAAAGGUUUUUGAACUUGAAUGAAUUUUCCCUGUUGACCCGUAUAAAGAGUCAUCAAAUUCAUGGUCAUACCUGGCUGAUCUCAGAAUGAAACCUUUCGAUUUCAACAUAUUGGUUUAUUAGCAAGGACUAAUCUUUUAUGGGUAAAUUCCUGAUAAAGACAAAUGCCAGCCUGAUUAUCUUGUUUCAAAUUUCAUUCCAUCCUAAUCAUACUUAUGUAAUCAACUUAAAGCCCAGGUUUUAAAAGCUUGACCAUCCUAUGCAUUUCACCACAACUCCUUAUGUCUUCUUGGUGUCAACAACAAAUAUCAAUGAUUGACAUUCGCUCUAUAAGUUCCUGUCUUGCACCAUGGCUUUUUCAUCUACUUUUUAUUAGGAGUUUUGAAACAUUGUGGGUGUGAUAUUGAAUCUCAUUUAACAUAAAUUACUCUUUCAACUGACAUGGUGGCAAUGUUUGACGUGGAUUGACUUUGUUUACAAUAAACUUGAAACAAUUGUGGAUCAUCAACAAGCAACCCAAUAUUACCUGGUUAUCUUUUUGAUUUCUAAAGACAUAAGUAAACAAAGAGGUGAUAAAAAGGCUAAAUAAGAGGAAACAAUAAGUUGAUUUGACUCUAUUUCACCUCAAGGUUAUACCAGAUAUUUAAUUAGCAGCAUUUUUGCUCAAAGAUUAAAAUGAAUUAAUUUGUUUCAAUCAGCAUCAUUGGAUUUUUAAAGCUGAAUGUUUCAUUUCAAGAUACAACUAAAGUUUCAAACAUAAAUAAGAAGUACAUCGUACAUUGUAUUGUAUAUUGGCAAGAAAACUCAAUUUUAUCUAAAAAGGAUGAAAAACUAUUCCAGACUAACCAUGAUGAUAAGAAAAGUAUUCUUACUCUUAAGAAAAAUUUCCAGUUCAACUCUAUCACCUUUGCUCAAUUGAAUGGUUUAAAAAUUAUUUCAUGAAAUUGUUCCUGAGGUUGCAUUAACUAAAUGUCAAUCAAUUACAAUAUUUGAGAUCCAAAUGUUCCGGAAAAGUCUUCAAUGCGAAAAAUAAAUUCCAUGUUUUGAAUCUCUUAAACCAUGACACAGGCUAACAUUCAAAGAUACAAUAUUCGAGACCUGGUAAACAUGGAACUUCAAUCAAGCGCAAUUUAUUUUAUAAACCUCAAAACUUUUCCAUCAAAGCUACCAUGAAUUGUCGUAAAUUUAAAGACCAUUGGAUCAAAUUGUCAAUGCUAAUACUGUUCAUGAUUCUGAUCCAAUUGAAUUUAUUCAUCCUUUCCAUCUUCUUGGCCACAAUCUUCAACAACUGACGAUCAAUAUGAUUAGAGUCAUGGAUCAUUUUGGUUUCAAAUAAGCAAUUACCAAUGAAUGGUAAUCGAAACAAGUAAACUUGGAAAAAACUAUUACAACUUGGAUCAAAUAAUUGCAAUAACAAUGUCAACCUCCAAUUGGCAGUUCCAAUUUUUUUUACUAUACUGAGCAAUGUGGUCAAUCAGUUUAAACAGCAAUUUAAAGUUGUUUCAUUCAAUCAAACUGGAUGAUUGGCAAAGAGAAAGCUAAUUUCAUUUGAAAAUAACAUCAACUAAUUAUGAUGCCAUGAAAGCCUGGAUCUCAAAAUAUUACCAGCAAUUUAAAGGAAUCCAUUGAGAGUGUAACUAAAUGUUUUGCUAAAUUCCUGACCUGAAUUAUUUCGUAACUGUUUAAAUUGUCGAUCACACUUGGUUUAAAACCUUUUAAAAACAAUCAUCUAAACAAGUAAAUUAAUGAGACAGAUUGAAAAUCAAAAUGUCAUGAUUGGAGUUUAAACUGAAAGAAGCUACAGUAAUUCAAAGUGAAAGAUAUAAUUUCAAUGAUGACAGCUUAUGGAACUCAAAUUCUCAGAAGAAUCAAGUUAAGUGGAUUUCAAUGUUACCAUGCUAUUUUUUGGGUUAAAUAAUUCAGAGAUGGAAACAAGCAAAAGAUCAUCUUUGUUAAUUGUGGUACAAAUGGUAAAAUGGUAAAUUGGAAAAAAUAGAAACGUUAAUAAAUUGGAAAUAUUUAUAAGGCAACAUUUCAUGGAAAUGCAAGUUUCAAGGAAGCUAAAUCACGGAACCGGAUAGUGCAAGGAGGAAGGAGUCUGGGAAAGUGUAACAAUUAGCUUACCUGUAAGUUGAUGGAGUUAACACUUUCUGUUGUCCCAAUUCUGAGAGCAGAUUUCUUAACUGAAUCCAUUCCUUGGCUGAAUCAAGGUUAUUACCGUUUGCCGAGAUUAAACCUGCAACCGAACCAGCUGAAGGUGAUCCUGACAAUGAUGAUGAGGAAGGUGUUAAUGAAGGUGAAGAUGGAUCUUGUUGUGAAUCAUCAGCUAGUCCAGUGAAAGUGUAAUCACCAAGUGAUUGACCGGGAUCAGAUGAAUGACCAUUUAGGGGUAAACUUGAUACAAAAAAACAACCAAAUGAGAUAUAAAUUAAACAAACCUUCAUGAUGCUGAUGAAGUUGUAACGAUUGUUGAAGCAAUUGUUAUGACUAAGCUGUUUGCUGGCGUUAAUUAACUUCAUCUUUAAAAUGUGAUGGAAAAAAAGUGAAACAAUAAUCUAACUAAACAAAAAAUGGAACGAAUCGGGUUGAUAAAAAAUGGAUGAAAUAGCCAAUAAGUUAACCUGUUGAUUGUGAAUUUACAAAGAGCAAAUUGAGUUUGUUCAAUUUGGUAAAAAUCAGAGUUAAAUAUCUUAAAUUCUGAUUCUUACAGUUUCUUGAAGUGAUCAACCAAACAGGAUAACUCUUAUAUACACAUGGACAUUAUAAUUUAUAAAUAUAUGUUGAUCAUCUUA
Long non-coding RNA from Tetranychus urticae (two-spotted spider mite), 4302 nucleotides. RefSeq lists it as uncharacterized. NCBI's taxonomy places the organism in Eukaryota, Metazoa, Arthropoda, Arachnida, Trombidiformes, Tetranychidae. The record is from RefSeq and is a predicted model, not a curated record.